RNAcentral lists this ribosomal RNA (497 nucleotides) under uncultured bacterium. Its description in RNAcentral is "partial 16S ribosomal RNA". It matches the Rfam family "Bacterial small subunit ribosomal RNA", at positions 28 to 507 of the family's 1533-position model. The record is from RNAcentral.
GAUGAACGCUGGCGGCGUGCCUAAUACAUGCAAGUCGAGCGAACAGACGAGGAGCUUGCUCCUCUGACGUUAGCGGCGGACGGGUGAGUAACACGUGGAUAACCUACCUAUAAGACUGGGAUAACUUCGGGAAACCGGGGCUAAUACUGGAUAAUAUAUUGAACCGCAUGGUUCAAUAGUGAAAGACGGUUUUGCUGUCACUUAUAGAUGGAUCCGCGCCGCAUUAGCUAGUUGGUAAGGUAACGGCUUACCAAGGCAACGAUGCGUAGCCGACCUGAGAGGGUGAUCGGCCACACUGGAACUGAGACACGGUCCAGACUCCUACGGGAGGCAGCAGUAGGGAAUCUUCCGCAAUGGGCGAAAGCUUGACGGAGCAACGCCGCGUGAGUGAUGAAGGUCUUCGGAUCGUAAAACUCUGUUAUUAGGGAAGAACAAAUGUGUAAGUAACUAUGCACGUCUUGACGGUACCUAAUCAGAAAGCCACGGCUAACUACGUG